GGCUGGUUAGUUCAGUCGACUGAGCAUGGUGCUGAUAAUGCCAAGGUCGCGGGUUCGUUUCCCUUUUCAGUCC
This 73-nucleotide transfer RNA is filed under the name Apaloderma vittatum (bar-tailed trogon). It matches the Rfam family "tRNA". From Rfam's summary of the family: Transfer RNA (tRNA) molecules are approximately 80 nucleotides in length. Their secondary structure includes four short double-helical elements and three loops (D, anti-codon, and T loops). The record is from Rfam by way of RNAcentral. Lineage: Eukaryota; Metazoa; Chordata; Aves; Trogoniformes; Trogonidae.